GAGAGGAGGCAGAGGCUGGGAAUGGGAGCAGUAAGCUGUCGGCAGGGGCAGCACACCCAGCAGGGGGAACACACCCGGGUGGCUGUCCCUCACAAGCAGGGUGGCAACAUCCGGGGUCCCUGGGCCCGAGGCUGGAAGAGCCUCUGGACAGGUUUGGGAACCAUCAGGUCAGAUCUGGAAGAACUCUGGGAACUACGGGGGCACCACUAUCUGCACCAGGAAUCCCUAAAGCCAGCCCCAGUACUGGUAGAGAAGCCUCUGCCAGAGUGGCCAGUGCCUCAGUUCAUCAACCUCUUUCUACCAGAGUUUCCCAUUAGGCCCAUUAGGGGGCAGCAGCAGCUGAAGAUUUUAGGCCUCGUGGCUAAAGGCUCCUUUGGAACUGUCCUCAAGGUGCUAGAUUGCACCCAGAAAGCUGUAUUUGCAGUGAAGGUGGUGCCCAAGGUAAAGGUCCUACAGAGGGAUACCGUGAGGCAGUGCAAAGAGGAGGUUAGCAUCCAGGUAUGCACAGAGUCCUGGAAAGGAUUGUGGGAAGAGCUAGGCCACAGGUAGGGAAAGUACCUUUCUUGCCCACCUUCUUUUCCUGGUUCUGCCUCAUCCA
This 598-nucleotide long non-coding RNA is filed under the name Homo sapiens (human). RNAcentral's name for it is "non-protein coding lnc-KIAA0100-1:4". Lineage: Eukaryota; Metazoa; Chordata; Mammalia; Primates; Hominidae. The record is from RNAcentral.